UGGCUCAGAGGGUAAAGCGUCUGCCUGCAAUGCAGGAGACCCGGGUUCAAUUCCUGG
This 57-nucleotide transfer RNA is filed under the name Ovis aries (sheep). It matches the Rfam family "tRNA", at positions 8 to 63 of the family's 71-position model. Rfam says of the family: Transfer RNA (tRNA) molecules are approximately 80 nucleotides in length. Their secondary structure includes four short double-helical elements and three loops (D, anti-codon, and T loops). The record is from Rfam by way of RNAcentral. Lineage: Eukaryota; Metazoa; Chordata; Mammalia; Artiodactyla; Bovidae.